RNAcentral lists this long non-coding RNA (1397 nucleotides) under Homo sapiens (human). RNAcentral's name for it is "HSALNT0268172". The record is from RNAcentral. Lineage: Eukaryota; Metazoa; Chordata; Mammalia; Primates; Hominidae.
CUCCAACUGGGGCGACUUGUGGAGGGUGGUUCCUGGGACAACGCCCAUGCCGUGAUCAGGAACGGGGUCAGCAGGAGUCAGGUGGGGAAGUGCCAGGUGUCCACUGCCACGACCAACACGUUACUCACACUCACGGCACAAGAAUGGCCUCUGUACCCUGUGUGUAGGCAUAUCCAGGCACAGUCGCUUGUAUGUCUGAGACCUCAAGCUGGAGAGUGCUGAUGGCCAACAUGCUGGUCACCUCUCCACAGUCCUUCCUCCUCCUGGACAACACCCCUGCUCUCUCUGGAUGGUCCUGAGCUAAGCCCGGAAGAGUCAAGGCUAUAAAGAGGGACUGAGAACACCGUGACGCCCUGGCCUGCGCACCCUCCUCUGCUCCAUCUGGGUCUGUCCGGAUGGCAGAGGCUCAGAGGGUCUGCCCCUACCAGAUGGUGGAGGCUCAGAAUGUCUGAGCCAGAAAAAGCAUGAAAGAAAACUUAGCCUUCCUCCUCCCAGUUAACAGAACAUCGGGAGGGGUGAGGAGAGAAGGCCCAGGAGGAGGGGCGUCCUUCCCAGGCAGCUGUCACAGGCCCCUAGCUGAGCUCUCAUGGCAGACACAGCCCAGGACACUCAGACCCAGAGUGACUACGAGCCCCGGCAAGACGUGGAGGAGCAGAGUUACAACCCGUCAAGAGCCUGAUUUCAGGUUGAAACCAGGCUUCACCAUGCAGCAGCUGUGUGGCCUCAGGGAAGUUACUGAACCCCUCUGAGCCUCCCAUGGAAAAUAAGGAUGAUGGUUCCCCUCACAGGGUUGUCGGGAGGAUUCAGUGUCCUCCUUCAGGUCUUGACUCGGAUGUUGCCUCUGAGUGAGGGCGUCUUUGGCCACCCCAUUUAAAGUGCCAACCCUGACACUUCCUCCCUCCUUUCCCCUCUGUCCUCUUCCUGGCUCUUAUCACCAUCAGACAAACCAAGUUUUCACUUCUUGAUCAUUGUCCAGCCCCUGCUGUGAAAUGUGAAGUCCUAAGACACAGGCUUUUUUUGUUUGUUACGUUCAUUGCUUUAGAAGGAAUUAAGGACAAGCUACCCCAAAUGACGUCACUUUGGUAUAUGGAUUAUUUUGAGCUGCAGGCACUGGAGAAACAGCAGGUGCAGGCAGGGCCUUCGGACCUCCCCUUUUCUAACCAAGAACAGGCCAUGACAUUUCCCACGAGAUACACACUCCCUUUGUACCAGGAAGAGAACAUCCUUAUCACCAAACACUGGGAGUGGAUGCCGAGGUGCAUCUGCACAAACACACUUAAUAAAAUAACCCUUUGCUUCCACCAGUUUUACUCGUUUCUCCCCCACGAAUCUUCCAGUUCCUCCCCCACGAUUUACUGCCCCCAGUCCAAACCUUUUUGUCUCAUCAUUUCUUCACA